CCCAAACCAAUAAAGUGUUCUUUAUUGGGGUUGCGGACAUAUCAUAACGAAGAGGUAUCGUAAUUGAAGAGGUUUGGAAAGACCCACCACAGAAGGUAAUAGUCCUGUAUGUUAAACGAGAAGACUUUAGAUAUGAUCCAGAGUACCACGGGACACGUGAAACCCUGUGGGAAGCAGGAGGGACCACCCUCCAAGGCUAAAUACUACCUAGUGACCGAUAGCGUAUAGUACCGUGAGGGAAAGGUGAAAAGAACCCCGGGAGGGGAGUGAAAUAGAACCUGAAACCCUGCACUUACAAGCUGUGGAAGCACAUUUCUUGUGUGACCGCGUACUUUUUGUAGAACGGGCCAACGAGUUACGUUAAGUAGCAAGGUUAAGCACUUAAGGUGCGGAGCCGUAGCGAAAGCGAGUUUUAACUGAGCGUUCAGUUACUUGACGUAGACCCGAAACCGGGCGACCUACCCAUGAGCAGGAUGAAGCGAAAGUAAAAUUUCGUGGAGGUCCGAACCCACGAGCGUUGAAAAGCUCGGGGAUGACUUGUGGGUAGCGGUGAAAUUCCAAUCGAGCCCGGAGAUAGCUGGUUCUCCCCGAAAUAGCUUUAGGGCUAGCCUCAAGGUGAGAGAUACGGAGGUAGAGCACUGAAUGUCCUAGGGGGUAUUGCACCUACCGAAGACUAUCAAACUCCGAAUGCCGUCAUCUUAUACUUGGGAGUCAGACUGUGGGUGAUAAGAUUCAUAGUCGAAAGGGCAACAGCCCAGAUCGUCAGCUAAGGUCCCUAAAUGUAAGUUAAGUGGUAAAGGAUGUGGGAUUGCACAGACAACCAGGAUGUUGGCUUAGAAGCAGCCACUCAUUCAAAGAGUGCGUAAUAGCUCACUGGUCGAGUGAUCCUGCGCCGAAGAUUUCCGGGGCUAAAACUUACUACCGAAGCUACGGCAUCA
RNAcentral lists this ribosomal RNA (938 nucleotides) under Clostridioides difficile. RNAcentral describes it as "bacterial LSU rRNA". It matches the Rfam family "Bacterial large subunit ribosomal RNA", at positions 268 to 1210 of the family's 2925-position model. Lineage: Bacteria; Bacillati; Bacillota; Clostridia; Peptostreptococcales; Peptostreptococcaceae. The record is from RNAcentral.